AGUGAACGCUGGCGGUAGGCCUAACACAUGCAAGUCGAACGGCAGCACAGUAAGAGCUUGCUCUUACGGGUGGCGAGUGGCGGACGGGUGAGGAAUACAUCGGAAUCUACUUUUUCGUGGGGGAUAACGUAGGGAAACUUACGCUAAUACCGCAUACGACCUACGGGUGAAAGCAGGGGAUCUUCGGACCUUGCGCGAUUGAAUGAGCCGAUGUCGGAUUAGCUAGUUGGCGGGGUAAAGGCCCACCAAGGCGACGAUCCGUAGCUGGUCUGAGAGGAUGAUCAGCCACACUGGAACUGAGACACGGUCCAGACUCCUACGGGAGGCAGCAGUGGGGAAUAUUGGACAAUGGGCGCAAGCCUGAUCCAGCCAUACCGCGUGGGUGAAGAAGGCCUUCGGGUUGUAAAGCCCUUUUGUUGGGAAAGAAAAGCAGCAGGUUAAUACCCCGCUGUUCUGACGGUACCCAAAGAAUAAGCAUCGGCUAACUUCGCG
This 492-nucleotide ribosomal RNA is filed under the name uncultured bacterium. Its description in RNAcentral is "partial 16S ribosomal RNA". It matches the Rfam family "Bacterial small subunit ribosomal RNA", at positions 29 to 507 of the family's 1533-position model. The record is from RNAcentral.